UUCCUUAAUUAUUAUCAUUAUUAUUAUUAUUAUUAUUAUUAUUAUUAUUAUUAUUAUUAUUAUUAUUAUUAUUAUUAUUAUUAUUAUUAUUAUUAUUAUUAUUAUUCCGCUUUAACGCUUGGGCGUUGGAAAGGAUUCUGAUUGGACAGGGUAGUGUUGUAGUACUCGGUCUCGGUCUCGAGACCGGUCUUGAGACCACUUUUUGAAGAUCUCGGUCUUGUCUCGCACUCGACCGCAUUUUUACUCGGUCUUGUCUCGGUCUCGGGCACAGAGGACUCGGGAUUUUUACUGCGAGACCAGCCGAGACCAGCCGAGACCAUGGCUUCACCGACAGCACUGAACUACCUCUCAACUGUCUCGUUUGUUCAGUAAAAGCUUUAUUGUGAUUGGAUGCAAAACUCCCCGCCUCGAAUGUAACCAAUAACUUAACUGAUUUUUAAUUUGGAUUAUUUUUACGGGCUGUGACCUGUCACCUACCCCGCCCCUCUUCACACGUACUCCGCUACAGUUAAUGCGGGAGGCGGAAGAAGGAGUCUGCUCCCUGGGGAAGAUGUCAGCUAACUCUGCUGUAAUAAAGUUUGGCUUUUUUAACCAUAAACAGUUUAUCUGUAAAUCAACGUGAAAAAGAAAACACAGCGCUAUAUGCAAAUUCUGCAACGCAACGCUCACUGAGGCGGCUGGAACCACAUCAAACUUUUAUCGACACUUGGAGAGGAAGCAUAAAGAAAGCCCUGUAUAGACUGGUAACCUGUCCAGGGUGUCCCCUGCCUUCACCCAAGUCAGCUGGGAUAGACUCCAGCCCCCCGUGACCCUAAUGAGGAAUAAACGGUGUAUAGGUAAUGGAUGGAUGGAAGCGCAGUCAGGCC
Long non-coding RNA from Amphiprion ocellaris (clown anemonefish), 866 nucleotides. NCBI's taxonomy places the organism in Eukaryota, Metazoa, Chordata, Actinopteri, Pomacentridae. The record is from Ensembl.